UGAGGAAUAUUGGUCAAUGGGCGGGAGCCUGAACCAGCCAAGCCGCGUGAGGGAAGAAGGCCCUAUGGGUCUAAACCUCUUUUGUCAGGGAACAAAAGCGAGUAUGUAUACUAGUCUGAGUGUACCUGAAGAAAAACGCAUCGGCUAACUCCGUGCCAGCAGCCGCGGUAAUACGGAGGAUGCGAGCGUUAUCCGGAUUUAUUGGGUUUAAAGGGUGCGUAGGCGGCGAUGCAAGUCAGCGGUAAAAGCCCGGGGCUCAACCCCGGCGAGCCGUUGAAACUGCAGUGCUAGAGAAGGCGAGAGGUACGCGGAAUGCGCAGUGUAGCGGUGAAAUGCUUAGAUAUUGCGCAGAACUCCGAUUGCGAAGGCAGCGUACUGGCGCCUGACUGACGCUGAGGCACGAAAGCGUGGGGAUCGAACAGGAUUAGAUACC
Molecule: ribosomal RNA, 433 nt
Filed under: uncultured bacterium
Lineage: Bacteria
Description: bacterial SSU rRNA
Rfam family: Bacterial small subunit ribosomal RNA
Source: RNAcentral